RNAcentral lists this ribosomal RNA (79 nucleotides) under Teratosphaeria epicoccoides. RNAcentral describes it as "partial 28S ribosomal RNA". It matches the Rfam family "Eukaryotic large subunit ribosomal RNA", at positions 1 to 77 of the family's 3401-position model. Lineage: Eukaryota; Fungi; Ascomycota; Dothideomycetes; Mycosphaerellales; Teratosphaeriaceae. The record is from RNAcentral.
GUAGACCUCGGAUCAGGCAGGGUUACCCGCUAAACUUAAGCAUAUCAAUAAGCGGAGGAAAAGAAACUAACUAGGAUUG